Long non-coding RNA from Amphiprion ocellaris (clown anemonefish), 654 nucleotides. The record is from Ensembl. NCBI's taxonomy places the organism in Eukaryota, Metazoa, Chordata, Actinopteri, Pomacentridae.
GGCUGAGGGGCACGUCCUGGUCCUGGCUCCUGCUCAAGGAUUACAUUCUAAAAUUUCAGGUAUGAAUAAUCUGUGUACAACCAAGUGAGUGCUUCUGGUUCAACAGCUGCCUCCACCUGUCCAGUGCUGCUGAGACCACCUGAUCAUUUUUUUCUUCUCUGGUUUGAUAAUGCACUCAGAGCAAAUCUGCUCCUGUUUUCUUGGGUCUAAGUUUUUUCCAUGGCUGGUCCUGUUUUGAGUCGGUAACCGCUCGGCGCCAAGCUGGACCCGAGGACUGAGACUCCCCACACCUGUUCCUCUGCCCCGCCCCCGAAACAGGAACACAUAUCUCAGCUACACAACGCUGGGCUCCGAUUGGCCUGCGAGGAGGAGGAAGAGGAGGAGUAUGUCAGUGAGGCGUGUCUCCCCGCCGCUCUCCACAAGUUCACAAGCAACUACAGAGAUGCCGAGACCAUUACUGUUUGGAAAAGAAGAAAUCACAGGGAGCCAGAUCUGGUGAGCAGGACGGGUGUGCUGAGCAACCUUCAAGUGCUUUGCACAACUGAAAUGAAGGUUUGCACACAUGGUGCAGAGCUGCUACUCACCAUCUACUGCAGCUUCAAACGUCAAGGAUUCUUGUAGUGAAGCUGAUGUAAAUCGUUUCUGGAAAAGCCC